RNAcentral lists this ribosomal RNA (241 nucleotides) under uncultured bacterium. Its description in RNAcentral is "partial 16S ribosomal RNA". It matches the Rfam family "Bacterial small subunit ribosomal RNA", at positions 118 to 354 of the family's 1533-position model. The record is from RNAcentral.
UGAGCAAUCUGCCCUUCUCUUUGGAAUAAGCGUUGGAAACGACGUCUAAUGCCGAAUACGACCUCCUUUCGCAUGAUCGGAGGUGGAAAGCUCCGGCGGAGAAGGAUGAGCUCGCGGCCUAUCAGCUAGUUGGUGUGGGUAAUGGCCCACCAAGGCGACGACGGGUAGCCGGCCUGAGAGGGUGACCGGCCACACUGGGACUGAGACACGGCCCAGACCAACCCGUACGGGGAGGCAGGCG